GGCGGCGUAGCUCAGUUGGUCAGAGCAGGGGAAUCAUAAUCCUCGAGUCGUAGGUUCGAAUCCUACCGCCGCUACCA
This 77-nucleotide transfer RNA is filed under the name bacterium. Its description in RNAcentral is "tRNA-Met". It matches the Rfam family "tRNA". Rfam says of the family: Transfer RNA (tRNA) molecules are approximately 80 nucleotides in length. Their secondary structure includes four short double-helical elements and three loops (D, anti-codon, and T loops). Further hydrogen bonds mediate the characteristic L-shaped molecular structure. tRNAs have two regions of fundamental functional importance: the anti-codon, which is responsible for specific mRNA codon recognition, and the 3' end, to which the tRNAs corresponding amino acid is attached (by aminoacyl-tRNA synthetases). tRNAs cope with the degeneracy of the genetic code in two manners: having more than one tRNA (with a specific anti-codon) for a particular amino acid; and 'wobble' base-pairing, i.e. permitting non-standard base-pairing at the 3rd anti-codon position. RNAcentral also lists the same sequence under 2 other names. The record is from RNAcentral.